Molecule: ribosomal RNA, 468 nt
Filed under: uncultured bacterium
Lineage: Bacteria
Description: partial 16S ribosomal RNA
Rfam family: Bacterial small subunit ribosomal RNA
Source: RNAcentral
GACGAACGCUGGCGGCGUGCUUAACACAUGCAAGUCGAACGGAAAGGCCCUGCUUUUGUGGGGUGCUCGAGUGGCGAAAGGGUGAGUAACAAGUGAGUAAUCUGCCCUUGACUUUGGGAUAACUUCAGGAAACUGGGGCUAAUACCGGAUAGGAGCUCCUGCUGCAUGGUGGGGGUUGGAAAGGUUCGGCGGUUGGGGAUGGACUCGCGGCUUAUCAGCUUGUUGGUGGGGUAGUGGCUUACCAAGGCUUUGACGGGUAGCCGGCCUGAGAGGGUGACCGGCCACAUUGGGACUGAGAUACGGCCCAGACUCCUACGGGAGGCAGCAGUGGGGAAUAUUGCACAAUGGGCGGAAGCCUGAUGCAGCAACGCCGCGUGCGGGAUGUCGGCCUUCGGGUUGUAAACCGCUUUCGCCUGUGACGAAGCGUGAGUGACGGUAAUGGGUAAAGAAGCACCGGCUAACUACGUG